Molecule: long non-coding RNA, 3717 nt
Filed under: Volvox carteri
Lineage: Eukaryota; Viridiplantae; Chlorophyta; Chlorophyceae; Chlamydomonadales; Volvocaceae
Description: long non-coding RNA (VCAR_LNC003632)
Source: RNAcentral
CAAUUGCGUGCGCGUAUGGAUGCUCCUUUCCCCGCCGCCUUUCUAGCAACUAGUUGAUGUUAUGAUGCAUCGUUGGUCCGGCGUACGACGGCGCCUGGUGCGAUUUAUGCGUCCGGAAGCCCUUUCAGCCUCCAGGCAUGUCCCCACCUGCCUCACAGCCACCGACGCAUCUCACGGCGGGGGUCCAAUUGCGUGCGCGUAUGGAUGCUCCUUUCCCCGCCGCCUUUCUAGCAACUAGUUGAUGUUAUGAUGCAUCGUUGGUCCGGCGUACGACGGCGCCUGAUGCGAUUUAUGCGUCCGGAAGCCCUUUCAGCCUCCAGGCAUGUCCCCACCUGCCUCACAGCCACCGACGCAUCUCACGGCGGGGUUCCAAUUGCGUGCGCGUAUGGAUGCUCCUUUCGCCGCCGCCUUUCUAGCAACUAGUUGAUGUUAUGAUGCAUCGUUGGUCCGGCGUACGACGGCGCCUGAUGCGAUUUAUGCGUCCGGAAGCCCUUUCAGCCUCCAGGCAUGUCCCCACCUGCCUCACAGCCACCGACGCAUCUCACGGCGGGGUUCCAAUUGCGUGCGCGUAUGGAUGCUCCUUUCCCCGCCGCCUUUCUAGCAACUAGUUGAUGUUAUGAUGCAUCGUUGGUCCGGCGUACGACGGCGCCUGAUGCGAUUUAUGCGUCCGGAAGCCCUUUCAGCCUCCAGGCAUGUCCCCACCUGCCUCACAGCCACCGACGCAUCUCACGGCGGGGUUCCAAUUGCGUGCGCGUAUGGAUGCUCCUUUCGCCGCCGCCUUUCUAGCAACUAGUUGAUGUUAUGAUGCAUCGUUGGUCCGGCGUACGACGGCGCCUGAUGCGAUUUAUGCGUCCGGAAGCCCUUUCAGCCUCCAGGCAUGUCCCCACCUGCCUCACAGCCACCGACGCAUCUCACGGCGGGGUUCCAAUUGCGUGCGCGUAUGGAUGCUCCUUUCGCCGCCGCCUUUCUAGCAACUAGUUGAUGUUAUGAUGCAUCGUUGGUCCGGCGUACGACGGCGCCUGAUGCGAUUUAUGCGUCCGGAAGCCCUUUCAGCCUCCAGGCAUGUCCCCACCUGCCUCACAGCCACCGACGCAUCUCACGGCGGGGUUCCAAUUGCGUGCGCGUAUGGAUGCUCCUUUCCCCGCCGCCUUUCUAGCAACUAGUUGAUGUUAUGAUGCAUCGUUGGUCCGGCGUACGACGGCGCCUGAUGCGAUUUAUGCGUCCGGAAGCCCUUUCAGCCUCCAGGCAUGUCCCCACCUGCCUCACAGCCACCGACGCAUCUCACGGCGGGGUUCCAAUUGCGUGCGCGUAUGGAUGCUCCUUUCCCCGCCGCCUUUCUAGCAACUAGUUGAUGUUAUGAUGCAUCGUUGGUCCGGCGUACGACGGCGCCUGAUGCGAUUUAUGCGUCCGGAAGCCCUUUCAGCCUCCAGGCAUGUCCCCACCUGCCUCACAGCCACCGACGCAUCUCACGGCGGGGUUCUAAUUGCGUGCGCGUAUGGAUGCUCCUUUCCCCGCCGCCUUUCUAGCAACUAGUUGAUGUUAUGAUGCAUCGUUGGUCCGGCGUACGACGGCGCCUGAUGCGAUUUAUGCGUCCGGAAGCCCUUUCAGCCUCCAGGCAUGUCCCCACCUGCCUCACAGCCACCGACGCAUCUCACGGCGGGGUUCCAAUUGCGUGCGCGUAUGGAUGCUCCUUUCCCCGCCGCCUUUCUAGCAACUAGUUGAUGUUAUGAUGCAUCGUUGGUCCGGCGUACGACGGCGCCUGAUGCGAUUUAUGCGUCCGGAAGCCCUUUCAGCCUCCAGGCAUGUCCCCACCUGCCUCACAGCCACCGACGCAUCUCACGGCGGGGUUCCAAUUGCGUGCGCGUAUGGAUGCUCCUUUCCCCGCCGCCUUUCUAGCAACUAGUUGAUGUUAUGAUGCAUCGUUGGUCCGGCGUACGAUGGCGCCUGGUGCGAUGUAUGCGUCCGGAAGCCCUUUCAGCCUCCAGGCAUGUCCCCACCUGCCUCACAGCCACCGACGCAUCUCACGGCGGGGUUCCAAUUGCGUGCACGUAUGGAUGCUCCUUUCCCCGCCGCCUUUCUAGCAACUAGUUGAUGUUAUGAUGCAUCGUUGGUCCGGUGUACGACGGCGCCUGGUGCGAUUUAUGCGUCCGGAAGCCCUUUCAGCCUCCAGGCAUGUCCCCACCUGCCUCACAGCCACCGACGCAUCUCACGGCGGGGUUCCAAUUGCGUGCGCGUAUGGAUGCUCCUUUCGCCGCCUUUCCAGCAACUAGUUGAUGUUAUGAUGCAUCGUUGGUCCGGCGUACGACGGCGCCUGAUGCGAUUUAUGCGUCCGGAAGCCCUUUCAGCCUCCAGGCAUGUCCCCACCUGCCUCACAGCCACCGACGCAUCUCACGGCGGGGGUCUAAUUGUGUGCGCGUAUGGAUGCUCCUUUCGCCGCCGCUUUCUAGCAACUAGUUGAUGUUAUGAUGCAUCGUUGGUCCGGCGUACGACGGCGCCUGAUGCGAUUUAUGCGUCCGGAAGCCCUUUCAGCCUCCAGGCACGUCCCCACCUGCCUCACAGCUACCGACGCAUCUCACGGCGGGGGUCUAAUUGUGUGCGCGUAUGGAUGCUCCUUUCGCCGCCGCUUUCUAGCAACUAGUUGAUGUUAUGAUGCAUCGUUGGUCCGGCGUACGACGGCGCCUGAUGCGAUUUAUGCGUCCGGAAGCCCUUUCAGCCUCCAGGCAUGUCCACACCUGCCUCACAGCCACCGACGCAUCUCACGGCGGGGGUCUAAUUGCGUGCGCGUAUGGAUGCUCCUUUCCCCGCCGCAUUUCUAGCAACUAGUUGAUGUUAUGAUGCAUCGUUGGUCCGGUGUACGAUGGCGCCUGAUGCGAUUUAUGCGUCCGGAAGCCCUUUCAGCCUCCAGGCAUGUCCCCACCUGCCUCACAGCCACCGACGCAUCUCACGGCGGGGGUCUAAUUGCGUGCGCGUAUGGAUGCUCCUUUCGCCGCCUUUCUAGCAACUAGUUGAUGUUCUGAUGCAUCGUUGGUCCGGCGUACGACGGCGCCUGAUGCGAUUUAUGCGUCCGGAAGCCCUUUCAGCCUCCAGGCAUGUCCCUACCUGCCUCACAGCCACCGACGCAUCUCACGGCGGGGUUCCAAUUGUGUGCGCGUAUGGAUGCUCCUUUCCCCGCCGCCUUUCUAGCAACUAGUUGAUGUUAUGAUGCAUCGUUGGUCCGGUGUACGACGGCGCCUGAUGCGAUUUAUGCGUCCGGAAGCCCUUUCAGCCUCCAGGCACGUCCCCACCUGCCUCACAGCCACCGAGGCAUCUCACGGCGAGGGUCUAAUUGCGUGCGCGUAUGGAUGCUCCUUUCGCCGCCUUUCCAGCAACUAGUUGAUGUUAUGAUGCAUCGUUGGUCCGGCGUACGACGGCGCCUGAUGCGAUUUAUGCGUCCGGAAGCCCUUUCAGCCUCCAGGCAUGUCCCCACCUGCCUCACAGCCACCGACGCAUCUCACGGCGGGGUUCCAAUUGCGUGCGCGUAUGGAUGCUCCUUUCGCCGCCUUUCCAGCAACUAGUUGAUGUUAUGAUGCAUCGUUGGUCCGGUGUACGACGGCGCCUGAUGCGAUUUAUGCGUCUGAAAGCCCUUUCAGCCUCCAGGCAUGUCCCCACCUGCCUCACAGCCACCGACGCAUCUCACGGCGGGGUUCCAAUUGCGUGCGCGUAUGGAUGCUCCUUUCC